Molecule: small nucleolar RNA, 138 nt
Filed under: Cariama cristata (Red-legged seriema)
Lineage: Eukaryota; Metazoa; Chordata; Aves; Cariamiformes; Cariamidae
Source: RNAcentral
CUUCAGUGAAGAUGAGAUGACGAGUCUGAAAGGGAAUAUCCUUGUCCAAGUGCCCUGUUUCGUGUUGUGUUCUACAGCAUGGAUUUUGGGGACCUUGGGUCACAAUUUGAGUGACUUAGAGGCAUUUGUCUGAGAAGG